RNAcentral lists this ribosomal RNA (468 nucleotides) under uncultured bacterium. RNAcentral describes it as "partial 16S ribosomal RNA". It matches the Rfam family "Bacterial small subunit ribosomal RNA", at positions 28 to 507 of the family's 1533-position model. The record is from RNAcentral.
GACGAACGCUGGCGGCGUGCUUAACACAUGCAAGUCGAACGGAAAGGCCCUGCUUUUGUGGGGUGCUCGAGUGGCGAACGGGUGAGUAACACGUGAGUAACCUGCCCUUGACUUUGGGAUAACUUCAGGAAACUGGGGCUAAUACCGGAUAGGAGCUCCUGCUGCAUGGUGGGGGUUGGAAAGUUUCGGCGGUUGGGGAUGGACUCGCGGCUUAUCAGCUUGUUGGUGGGGUAGUGGCUUACCAAGGCUUUGACGGGUAGCCGGCCUGAGAGGGUGACCGGCCACAUUGGGACUGAGAUACGGCCCAGACUCCUACGGGAGGCAGAAGUGGGGAAUAUUGCACAAUGGGGGGAAGCCUGAUGCAGCAACGCCGCGUUCGGGAUGACGGCCUUCGGGUUGUAAACCGCUUUCGCCUGUGACGAAGCGUGAGUGACGGUAAUGGGUAAAGAAGCACCGGCUAACUACGUG